Molecule: transfer RNA, 74 nt
Filed under: Candidatus Campbellbacteria bacterium RIFCSPLOWO2_01_FULL_34_15
Lineage: Bacteria; Candidatus Campbelliibacteriota
Description: tRNA-Gln
Rfam family: tRNA
About the family: Transfer RNA (tRNA) molecules are approximately 80 nucleotides in length. Their secondary structure includes four short double-helical elements and three loops (D, anti-codon, and T loops).
Source: RNAcentral
UGCGAGAUCGUCUAAUGGUAGGACUGCGGUUUUUGGUACCGCCUAUCUAGGUUCGAGUCCUAGUCUCGCAGCAA